RNAcentral lists this transfer RNA (71 nucleotides) under Myotis brandtii (Brandt's bat). It matches the Rfam family "tRNA". Rfam says of the family: Transfer RNA (tRNA) molecules are approximately 80 nucleotides in length. Their secondary structure includes four short double-helical elements and three loops (D, anti-codon, and T loops). Further hydrogen bonds mediate the characteristic L-shaped molecular structure. tRNAs have two regions of fundamental functional importance: the anti-codon, which is responsible for specific mRNA codon recognition, and the 3' end, to which the tRNAs corresponding amino acid is attached (by aminoacyl-tRNA synthetases). tRNAs cope with the degeneracy of the genetic code in two manners: having more than one tRNA (with a specific anti-codon) for a particular amino acid; and 'wobble' base-pairing, i.e. permitting non-standard base-pairing at the 3rd anti-codon position. The record is from Rfam by way of RNAcentral. Lineage: Eukaryota; Metazoa; Chordata; Mammalia; Chiroptera; Vespertilionidae.
GCCUGUGUUGCUCAGUGGUUGAGCACUGACUUGUCAAUCAGGUGGUCAUGGUUCGAUUCCAGGUGAGGGCA